Molecule: ribosomal RNA, 253 nt
Filed under: uncultured bacterium
Lineage: Bacteria
Description: partial 16S ribosomal RNA
Rfam family: Bacterial small subunit ribosomal RNA
Source: RNAcentral
UACGUAGGGUGCGAGCGUUAAUCGGAAUUACUGGGCGUAAAGCGUGCGCAGGCGGUUUUGUAAGCCAGAUGUGAAAGCCCCGGGCUUAACCUGGGAAUGGCAUUUGGGACUGCAAGGCUGGAGUGUGGCAGAGGAGACUGGAAUUCCUGGUGUAGCAGUGAAAUGCGUAGAUAUCAGGAGGAACACCGGUGGCGAAGGCGGUUCUCUGGGCCUUACCUGACGCUGAGGAGCGAAAGCGUGGGGAGCGAACAGG